ACUGGCAAUUUCUGUCUCUACAAAGUUUUCCUAACAAUUACAUUGUAUAAUUAUUUCCUCCUUUAUCCGUACUUUACCUAGAUGUAUAGAUACCAAAUUCAAGAAUUGUAUUUUGUACUCUUUGCAUCUUCAGACUAACAAGAAUAUUAAGAUAGCUGAUGUGCCUGAUUACGGAGUAGGGCCCAACAACAAUGCUUCAGGCACAGAGGAACAGGAACUCCCUAACUGGACCUGCUUUUUAAUGAAAAAUCUGGAACAUCAGAAGCAAGUGGUUUCCAUGAUUAAAAAACUUCAGGGAGAAGUCUUCUCUUUUGAUGACCCAGUAAUGGCAUUGGAGUGAUUUGAAGCUGUGACUGGAAAAGUAAUGGCAACCUGUGACUAGAAGGUCGUAACACAAUAUUUACUGUAAGCUGUCAAAAUGUAUGAAGCAAAGAUGUAAAUGUUUCCUCAGUGAGGCAGUGCAUUUUGUUUGUUUUAUCCCUGUAUAUUUCCAUGCUGGUAUUGCUUUAGCUAUUAUUUUUUCACCAGACUUAUUCAUUUUUAUUUUCUUUUAUUAGUUGUAGUAUUCUUGUAAUUGUUAUUAUUAUAUUAUAAUGGUAAUAUUUAUUAUUUUUUAUGCUUUUGUUUUUCUCUUUAAUUGUAUUUUCCUUAUUUUUUUUUUUUCAUUUGCAUUAUAAACAGUAAACAGUUUUGUAUUAAUUACAUUAUAGAGGUAAAACAAAACAAAAGUUUCAUGAGAUACUUUUAAAUUAUUAGUUGGUGUGUGUGUGUGUGUGUGUGUGUGUGUGUGUGUGUGUGUGUGUGUGUGUGUGUGUGUGUGUGUGUGUGUGUGUGUGUGUGUGUGUGUGUCUGUGUCUGUGUGUGUGUGUUUCCAUUCUUAAUGCUUGGGAGUACCAGUUGUUACCUUUAUUUCUUUAGAUGUAGGGCUAUGUUACUUGUCUGUAAAGAUAGAGCUAUUGGAAGCAUAGUUUAUGAGAUGAAAUCUUUGUGCUAAUGUUGCACUGAACAAAGUUGUAAAACAUGCACAAGAAAUCAAUAUAGGAAAAGUAUUAUAUUUAAUGAUUAUAGAGAUUUAUUAGUGUAUUUCACUAAUGUUUGUGUAAACUUGAUAUUCACUUUCAUCCAAGCAGACAUGUAUUGCAAGGUGAAUAAAAGAGUGUAGAUCUGUUGAUACCUUCAGUGCAUUUGUGUUGUUGACUUUAGGUAGGUUACAGGCUAUUCAUCAUAUAAUGAAUUAGUCUAAAUUUACAGCAGCCAUUAAAUUAUUUCCCUUAAGUCAGGCUAUAAUUUACAGAAACAGGAAGUAUUAUAUACCAUUCCAGUGUCACUGUAUACAUUUAUGAGUGCUUAUUCUCACCAGUUUGUGUAUAUGUCUGUCUAUGCACACACACAUACACUACAUGUAUAGGAUGGAAGAGUUUUCAUUGUCCUAUCUUUGCUUAAUUUGGUGAACUUUCUAUUUGUGUACCAGUGCAUGAAACUAGUCACAAUAAAGUGACUGCCAUUUCAGUAUUGUUGUACAAAUUAAACAAGUUGGCUACAUAUUUGACACAGACACACUAGCCCAUCCACACAUUUACGAAUGCAUGCAUGUAUCCCCAAGAGAUCCCCACACCCAUACCCAUCCAACCCCUCACACACAUGUAUAAUAAAAGAAAUUAGAAAUAUAUAUAUAUAUUACAAUUAUAUUUUAGAUUUAUUGAUCUUUUUUUUUUUUUUUUUUUUUUUUUUUUUUUUUUUUUUUUUUUUUUUUUACAUAAAUGAUAAACAGUAAUAUUUAACCCAUUCGCCACAUGUGGCAAGAAUAGAUGCCAUACCCACAUUGAUACACGUUUAUUUGUUGUAUUUACACAUAGAUGGUUCUACAAGUUGUUAAUCACCAAAUAGCCAGUUAUCCAGAACUACCUAUUUCACCUGUUUACCUUUUCCCUUCACUUUAGGAAAGGGUUUUUUGUAUCAUUUCAUUGUCUAAAAUAUUCUAAUGACAAUUUGGUAAUCAUAACAUCAAUAACAAUAAUAACAGUAACAAAAGCAAUGGUAUUAAUUUUCCCGCCAAUUCAAUGAAUGGAAAAACCAGGGUCGGUAACUAAGGCCUACUGAUAGACUCCUUGAAUUUUGUGAAUGAAACAAAAUUCACCAAAACCUACAGGGGACAGAACAUAAAUCCGUGGCAAAUGGGUUAAUGUAUUCAUUUCUAUGUAUUAGAUUACAUGUAAAUUUCAUAAAUAUUGCUGAAAGUUUAGUGUCAUGUCACAUUAUACUACAUGUUCUUCAAAGAUUAGGAGUAUUUUGUGACCAGUUUUAAAGGUGAAGAUUUACUAAAGGUAUAACAUAUAAGAAAUGUUUUGUUUCCAUGUAUUAUUAUUGGAUUUUAUGUUAGAGUUAUAUGUGUAAAGUAAAAAAAAAUAUAUCUUGUGGAAUAAAAUAAUGUGACAUAAGAAAUACUAAUUGUUUGAGAAAUGUAUCAGUAGUCUAUAAUUUGGAUAGGUUAUUGGAUUUCCAUGUAUUAUUAUUGGAUUUUAUGUUAGAGUUAUAUGUAUAAAGUAAAAAAAAAAAUAUUUUGUGGAAUAAAAUAAUGUGACAUAAGAAAUACUAAUUGUUUGAGAAAUGUAUCAGUAGUCUAUAAUUUGGAUAGGUUAUUAGACUUAACAAUGUGUUUCAGUCAUUUUGUCUGUAGGUUUUUUUGUGUAGUUUCACAAUCCCUUAUCCAAAAAACACUGGGCCAGCUGUUUGGGGGAUUUAAUUUUUGGUCUGAUUUUAUAAAUGAAAUUAGCUCCCUACUGGGGCAUAGGACAGUACUCCACAAUCAAACAUUACUACCACAACAAAAGUUUAUUAUAUCUUUAGAAUUUUGGAUAAAGGAUUGUAAACCUAUAUUUGUUAUUCAUUCUUGGUGCAUGUUUAAGCAAUACACAUGGCAAAAACUCCACAGCAUUUACUUCUAUAUGUAGUAAAUAGCUAAUGUUGUUGUCAGCAAAGAAAGUAACUUUUACACCAACACUAACCUACAGCUAACCUUUACUAACAUCCCUUUUGCUUCCCUCUUUUUUUUUUUUUUUUUUUUUUA
Molecule: long non-coding RNA, 3067 nt
Organism: Penaeus indicus
Lineage: Eukaryota; Metazoa; Arthropoda; Malacostraca; Decapoda; Penaeidae
Exons: 2
Source: RefSeq, a predicted model, not a curated record